UUUUUUUUCUGUGCGCAGAUUAGGUACUUCUCUUUUGAUCACCGAUUCAACAUCCAACAACGAUCCCGAACUCAAAUGUGGUGAUGUUUAUCUUUUGUGUCGGCAUGUAGCUAGGACAUCUAAAUGAUAGUUAUUUUGUGGAUGGAUUAUAAAUGUAAUGCUCGUUUGGUAUAUACAUAUAAACAUGUGUUUGUGUUUGAAGCCAUAUUAUGGCAUGGUAAAUUGAACCAAAUCUAGAUAUGUGCAUGUGAAUUUAAGUUAAUGUUUUAGGUGGUUUUGAGUUAGGCCAAAUUGAUGAAUUUUGACAUGAUUUUAAUUUGGUUGAUGUUUUGAUGAUAUAAAUGUGGUACUAAUGAGGGUACAUUGGUUAGGCCCCUAGGAUGAUUAUUUUGGCAUGUUUUCAAUGUGUUUGAUCGUGUUUUGAACAGGUUAAACGAAUGGUUUUUGAGUUGUUUAAUGUCCAAGCUUGUUGGAAAUGGUAAAUUUGUUGUUUAAGGCACAUUUUAGGUCCACACGAUUAGAGACAUGGGUGUGUGACUUGGCCUUGUGAGACAUACGGCUAGAAAACGGGCGUGUGAGACCAUUUCAAAGGGUACACAGCCUGGCACACGGGCGUGUGGCUUGGCCGUGUGACCCAAGUCAGAGAGUUACACGGGCACAGACACGGGCUGGGACACGGCCGUGUGUCCCUACUUCAAAUGCCCACACAGCCAGACACAUGGGCGUGUGACUUGGCCGUCUGAGUCACACGGCCUAACCACACGGCCGUUGAACUCUGCAGUUAAAAUUUUUCUAACUUUUUCCUAAAAUUUUUAAAUGUUCUCGAUUUAGUCUCAAAUCAUUUCUAAAGUGAUUUCAAACCCUGAAAGGCCUUAAUAAGGGACUCUAUGCAUGUUAAUGAUGAAUCAUUGUAUUAUUUUUGAAAUGCUUGAAAUGAAUGUUUAGAUUACGAUUACUCAGUAACGCUCUGAAACCUUAUUUCAGCUACAAAUACAGGUUAGAGGUGUUAUCAAUGUUUUCUGGUGUUUGGAUUAACCUGUGUAAAAUAUUUUCUGUUGCUUGACAGAUUUUUUGAAAAUAUUUCAUAAAAUUUGUUUUGAAUGAAAUAAACAUACAUUUGAAAUAAAAGGGCAAUUUUAUGUUGACGGGAAAAUAUCUUACGUUGGUCAUCCUAUUUUACAUGAAACAAACAUCAGAAAAGGCUAAAAAUAUUUUCCAUAAAAACUUUUACGUUGAAACAAACAAAGUUAAUUUAGUAUUAUAAUAGUUAAUUUAGUAAGUUUAAGUAUAGAUCCUUUGUGACGCCUCGUACCCGAAUCUAAAGGACAGGUCGGGCUUGGGGUGUUACAUCUUUCCUUUUUCCUCUUAUUUUCUCUCAUUAUUGCACCUUAUUUUUUUCUUUGUGCUAUUAAUUAUUUUUCUUCCUCAUAUCAAAUUGAGCUCCUAUUCGUUCAAUUUUUAUCGUUAUUUAGAAUUGCAUCAAUAACACCUGUUACAUUUCCUAAGAAUUGGUAAGUACACUUUGUUUCAACAAUUAGAUUUCAUAAUCCUAUUGUACGAAUAUCCAACGUUAAUAUUUAGGUUUGAUUAAUCAACAUUUUGUGAUUCUUGCCAAAUCUUUUGGCUAUCUUGUCGAAAUCUUAACACCAAUUGUUAAUUCGUGUGUAAAUGUCAUUUGAAAGACUGGAUCUAGGUGAAUCGGACCAAAAAUCGAAAGUAAGAAGCGUCACACAGACAUGUGGUGAAAGGUGUGUGUCUUUUCUAAGUGAAUCGGUGAUGAUCAUGUGUAGGUUUAGGGCUACACGGUCUCCCACACAGGUGUGUUAACCAUAUAGGUAGACCACACGGCCACCACACAACCAUGUACACUUGUAGAAAUUAGGGACUUUGUGAACUACAUAGCCUCAGCCUGUUACACGACUUUCCACAUGGUUGUGUCUCUCCUGUAGGGUAAUCUAUCAUUUUCCACAUGACAUCAAGUUGUUAUACGGUCUAGCUACACGACCGUGUAACCUUUCCACACGGUCACGAGACCUUCACAUGGCCUGACGAUAUGGCCAUGUGACUAUUAUUUUAUAGUUUUGCCCAUAAAUUUAUGAUAUGUUUAGUUUAGUCAUUGUAUAUCCCCUAAAUUAUUUUUAGAGUUUUUAUUCUCUCAAUUAAGCCUGUGAUAUUGUGUUUAUUAUGAAAUCUCUGCUUUAAUGACUAAAUUGCUAUUGUUAUAUUGUAUGAGUGGUAAAUACUACAUGCUUAUUGUCACUGUGAUACUGAAAAACUAUGAGUGUUAAUAUUGUUACCACCGUACUUAGUACAUGUUAAGCAUGUCUACUGUUUUUGCAUCAUUGUGCUAUAAAGCAUAUCAUGUUGCAUUGCAUGGGGUGGGAUGAUAUGUACGGAGGAAGAUUUUCAGUUAAUUAAUUUGAAAACAAGUGGUGGCUUGUCCACAAACCAAGUGACAGUUUAUCUGUAAAUGUUUUUAUCUGAAAAUACUGGUGGUUUACCCACAAAUUUUACAACAAAGUGACAGUUUAUCUGCAAAUCAGUAGUGGUUUAUCCACAACUCGGUGUGUAUGGAUGAAUGAGUUAUGGGGAAUUCUUAAUGUGGUGUGUAGCAGUUGGGUAGGAUAAACUGAAAUUGCAUUGUCACGCAUAAGCAUGUGCAUACAAAAACUGUGAAUUCUAAACAGUUAUAUAAUUUAUACAUUUUUUAAAAAUAUUAAUUAACAUCAAAAUUUAUUAGUAUGAGAAGAAAAAGUUAAAAUCACAUCAUCAUAUGUAAUAUGUUAUUCUUAUAAAGUAGUCGAUAAUAUGAUUGCUAAUAAAAAUAACAAAAAAAUAAAGUAGUCGAUAUGCAAUUUAUCUAAUUGUUCUAGUGUUUUAUAUUUGUUGGGUUAUUACAUCUUUAGCAUUUAACAAAUACUCCUUAUUUGUUGGUCAUUGGUCAAGUUAUUCAUCAUAUGAACUUGAAUCUAUAUCAUUAAUAUUAUCAAGAUCUUCUUCUUCUAUGUACUUUUCAAAGUAUGGAUCAUCUCAAUUCCACCUACGGAUGAAAUUAUGAAGUAAGUGAUGUGCUAGUAAGAUCCAACUUUUUUAAUGUUAUACUGAAAUAAUGUUGUUAAUAUGAGAAAUAUAUUUUUUUAGAAUAACAAAAGUCCUUUUAACCAUAGUUCGAAGAAUUGAAUGUCUCAAAUUAAAGAGUUCACGAUCUGUCUCUGGUACUUGUGUUUGACUCCAUUCUUUCAAAUGGUAUCGUACUCCACGAUACGGUAUAAUAAAAUCUUUUGUAUUUACAUAACUUGUAAAACCCUAAAAUUUAGAAGGGUAGAAUAAUUAGAUGUUAUUGUAAAAUGAAAUCUGAUUAGGAGGUCUAAUUUUAAAAUAGUGUGUUUUAAUUAGGUUAGGACCUAAUUGGAAAAAAGGGUAAAAGUGAAUUAAAAUAUUAAUAGCGAGUCUUUACUAUGAGUAUUAAAAUAUGAUAACAUUAAAAAAGAUAUAGGUUAAAUAAGUUAAAGAAAAAUUAGGAAAAAUAUGUAAGGUAAUAAAAUUAUAUAUAUGUUGAAGUAGAAAUGAAUAUAUAUAAUUAAGUGUCUAAAAUAAAUAAGAUAUAAGCGUUAGGCUUGAUGGUUAAGUAACAAGUAUAUCCCUCAGGGAGCCUAGGAUUAAAUCCUUGUCCUUUCAUUUUUUUUCCUUUUAUUUUGAAAAUACAGCAAGCCUUCAACAAGAAGCAAUAGGUAUAGUUAAGUGCAAAAACAUCCAAGAAAUGGGCUUUGGUCGAGUGGUAAGGUGUUGGCAUUCCCAAACACAUUUUGCUUUUCUUUAAUUUCGAUCAACUUUGAAAAAUUACAGUCACACUCCUAAACUUUAAAAAAAUUGUAGUAAUGCCCCAAAUGUUUGUCAAUUUUAGAAAUUCACCCCAAUCCAAUCCUAACUAGAUUUAAUAUCUUAUCUUUCCUUAAAAUUCAAAUUAGGAUAAGAACUCUAUCACCUUUUUAACUUCUUAUCCUAUUUUGAAUUUCAAUAUAAUCCUUUUCAAAUCUUAUAUUUUGUUUUUAUAAAAUAUAAUUUAAAUAAAAUUAAAAUUCUAUUAUCUUUUUAACUACUUAUCUUAAUUUAUUUCAAAUUAAUCCUAUUAAAAUCUUAACUAGAAUUUAAAUUACUCCUUUUCAAAUCCUAAUAGAAUUUAUCUUUCUUAUUUAUAAUUAUUAUUUAUAAUUCCCCAUUUGUUAUUUUGUCAGAUUAAAACCCUAAACUCUCUCUCUCUAUAUAUAUCAUAAUUUUCUCUCAUUAUUCUUUGUCACAAAACUCUUUUAAAAUCCUUACGUUUUACUGAAAAAUACUCCUAAAGUUUUUGAAAAUUCAAUCAAGUGCACAUCAAUUGUUCUUCCCCAAAUUGUCGAAUUUCGAGUUAGUAGAUCGUUGAGUUUUUAUGAAGAUCGACCCUUGUAGGUGAUUGGAUCGAGCUGGAAUGAAGGGUAAUCACCUGAGACCUCAAUAAAGACAAACAUGUGUUCCUUUAUGAAAAAUCGAGUUAAAAUCGUGUCUAGGUUUAGGCCCACACGACCGUGUACCAUCAUUUUACAGAUUUUACAAUUCUGCCACUGUUUUCCAGAUUUUACAUUUUUGCCACUGGUUUUUUAGAUUUUAUAGUUUUGCCACUCUUCUUUAAAAAAAAUUACAGUUUUACUAUAAACUUUAUUAUUUUACUCAAAUCAGUCUCUAAUUAGGAUUUUAAUGGCAUUUAGAGAACUAGAUUAUGCAAUUAGGUCAUUGACUAUGAUUAGAAUGAUUGAAUAUAUGAAUAAAUGAAUUUAUGAUCUUAAUGAAUGAAUUUAUGAUCUUACUUAUUUUCUUAUUGAUUGCUUGAUCCUUGAAUGCUUUUAUGAUUAUCAAUGUUAUAAAUGUUGAAUGAACGUCUCGUAUGCUUAUUUGAUUGAACUAUUGAUUGAUGGAUUUAAUCGUGACCGUCGUUAUUGUGCAAUGAAAUAGAAUGUUAAAAGAAUUAAUGAUUAUAUGAGUGAAUGUAAUAAAUAUUGAUUGCAUUACAUAUGCAUGGGGGGCAAUAUGGUAAGGAGGAAGUAUAUAACAAUAUAUUUGCAUUUAAUUGUAUGUUGUGUAUCCACAGUAAAAGCAAAUUCCGACUGUUUCCAUUCUACCAUGCAAGCACAACCCUUUGAUAGCUUUCAUUUGUGAGUAUGUUGUGUUUCCACGGCCACUAGCUAGUUUUAUCUGCAUUCCAUUUGUGCGUUGUGUACCCACAGCAAAAGCAGAUUCCAAUUGUGUCUAUUUGUUGUGUGUCCAUAGCCAGUGGCAAUGAAAACUGCAAAUUAUUGAUGGUGUUAAGUCCACAACCCGGUGUGAUUGUGCGAUAAAGCAUUGCCGAGGAUGACUAAUGACCUGAAAAAACAUUUUUAGCUUUUUUGUUGUAUAUAUAUAAGAAUAGAUAUGGGAGUUUUAUUUGCUGUUAAUCUAGUCAAAGUGUGUUCAUCUAAGAAUGGCAGCAUUGCAAAUUCUAAACUCAUACUUGGUAAGUUUCAAGCCAUUCAACUCUUAAUUACUAUCUCUGCAGGGCUUGCCUUCUAAAAUCCCCUAAAUUUUGCUUCAAACAACACUGUAAAGGAACUAUCUGUAUGCAAUAAGCCUGCAAAUUCAAAUGGAAAAGCAAAAAAAGGAAAAGGGGAGAGUCUGUCAGACAACCGCGUGACCUUCCCAGCCGCGCAAGGCAAGCUGAGAACGAUCCUCUGCGGUCGAAGUGAAACCAGCAAGGGAAACACCAGACCAGUAAUCACGCUCAGAUCACAUAGUCGUGGUUCAUCAACUAGACUUGGAAUCCUAUCUCCUUUGAACUUGAGGACAUAGAGGUACGAGCUUAUAGAACAUAUCCUAUUCAAGUAAGGUCGUGCCCAGUCAAGCCUUGAUUUUAUUUUAAAUACCACUGGACUUUGUCUUCCCUUUUCGAUAUGGGAUACUGAUUAGUUUCUGACAAAACCAAUGUUUGUUUUGUCUGUUCCGUAAUUUCUCGCCGCCAUCCAUUCAACAAAGUUGGAUAUAUCUAUUCAGCACUAAAUACAAUAUAGUUUACAUAUAUAUCAUCCCAGCUAUUACAUUAACUUGAGUUACUGGAGUCUAUUCACGGUUCAUUAGCCUGUUUCAUGCUUUCAUCAUAGUUUUCUCUUUAGAAAAUGCUUGUCUAUCGACUAAGCUUAUAAAAUAUUUUGCAGCAGAGGAUGUAGUUGUUAGCAAUGUGUAGGUCUUCACUCAACUGAUGGGAAGUGAAUACAAUCGAUGAUGAUGGUAAUUUGUUGUGUUGGUUUGGUGAUAAUUUCUGUUUUAUAUAUUAAUCUAAAACUUAGUUGACAAUCAAUCAAACACCUUAUCUGCCACUAUUCAAGUAAGAUAAUGCUCCGGGCUUUUGCUUUUACCUGCAUUUUAGGAGUAGGAAAACAGGGGAAGUGUAAUUGAGAUUUUGGAUUUGCAUUUGCAGUAUUUGUGACUCAUUCACUGAUUUAAAUUGCGAUAAAAUAUAUAUAUAUUAGUCAUCUUGUGUUUCCAUCUUGUUUUGUCUGUUCCGUAAUUUCUCGCCGCCAUCCAUUCAACAAAGUUGGAUAUAUCUAUUCAGCACUAAAUACAAUAUAGUUUACAUAUAUAUCAUCCCAGCUAUUACAUUAACUUGAGUUACUGGAGUCUAUUCACGGUUCAUUAGCCUGUUUCAUGCUUUCAUCAUAGUUUUCUCUUUAGAAAAUGCUUGUCUAUCGACUAAGCUUAUAAAAUAUUUUGCAGCAGAGGAUGUAGUUGUUAGCAAUGUGUAGGUCUUCACUCAACUGAUGGGAAGUGAAUACAAUCGAUGAUGAUGGUAAUUUGUUGUGUUGGUUUGGUGAUAAUUUCUGUUUUAUAUAUUAAUCUAAAACUUAGUUGACAAUCAAUCAAACACCUUAUCUGCCACUAUUCAAGUAAGAUAAUGCUCCGGGCUUUUGCUUUUACCUGCAUUUUAGGAGUAGGAAAACAGGGGAAGUGUAAUUGAGAUUUUGGAUUUGCAUUUGCAGUAUUUGUGACUCAUUCACUGAUUUAAAUUGCGAUAAAAUAUAUAUAUAUUAGUCAUCUUGUGUUUCCAUCAUGAUAAAUAUUAAAAAAAAAAGAAAAAGGUAAGAGAGCCUGUCAGACAACUGCAUGACCUUCCCAGCCGCACAAGGCAAGCUGAGAACGAUCCUCUACGGUUGAAGUGAAACCAGCAAGGUUAUCACCAGACCAGUAAUCACGCUCAGAUCACACAGUCGUGGUUCAUCAACCAGACUUUGAAUCCUGUCUCCUUUGAACUUACGGACACAGAGGUACGAGCCUAUAAAAUAGACCCUAUUCAAGUAAGAUCAUGCCCAUCUAAGCCUUGGUUCUAUUUUAAAUACCAUCUGGCUUUGAUAUUUUUCUUCUAUGUGGGAUAUCUGUUCAGCUUCUGACAAAAACAAUCAGUGUUUGUCCUACACGUGUCUUUCAUGAUCUCUGGCCGCCGCAAAGAUUGGGAUCCAUUCAACAUAAUUAAAUAUAUCUAUUUGGGCCUGAAUAGAAUAAUUUUGAUUACUCAUGGAUCAUUAGCCUUGUCUAAUUCUUUCUUCACAGUCCUAAAUACAAUAUAGUUUACAUAUAUAUCAUCCCAGCUAUUAAAUUAACUUGAGUUACUAGAGUCUCUUCAUGGCUCACUAGCCUGUUUCAUGCUUUCUUCAUAGUUUUCUCUUUAGAAAAUUCUUGUCUAUCGACUAAGUUAGUAAAAUAAUUUACUUGGACCAAAUAGAAAUAAAUUUCAAGGACUCUGUAGCAGAGGAUGCAGUUGUUAGCAAUGUGUUGGUCUUCACUCAACUAAUGGGAAGUGAAUAUAGUCGAUGAUGAUGGUAAUUUGCUAAGGUUUGGUUAAUGAAAGGUAGAAUGAUAAUCUGUGUUUUAUGUAUUAUUCUCUUUUUAAAAUAUGAAAUUUAAUUCAAUAAUAUAAACAGUAGACAUAAAUCUGAAAAAGAAAAUUUAGGGUUUGGGACAAGUAAAAGUUUUGGAAAGAAAGUAAAAAGACAAAAGUUUGGAGGGUUUAGGGGAAAGUAAUUUUUUUAGAAGAAGUAAAAGUUUUAGAAAGAAAAUAAUAGGAAAAGAAAUUUGAGGGUUUGGGGGAAAGUAAAAGGGUUUCAGAGGGUGGGGGAUUGGGACCGGAAGUAAAAUGGUUUGGUAUUUGGUUUAUUUAAAUUAAUUGAGUUAUUCGAAUUCAAAAAGUCAACUUGAUUCGAACUCAAAAUUAAAAAAAAAUUUGAUUUGAUUCGGUUAACUCGAUUUCAAUUCGAAUAAUUUGAAAUUCAAAUUUUUUUUUAUUUUUUCGAGUCGAAUCAAAUUUUGUUCACCCCUAAUGAAAAUAAUACUGAUAUUUGAGUAUAGGCCAUCUAUGAGGCUUGCAAUUGAUGUGUCACGAAACUAACUAAAAAUUCGACUAAGACAAGUGCACAUAUAAAUUAAUAUUAUAGUUACAAUGAGCAAAUAUAUUGUUCCCACGAAGAUUAAAAGUACUAGUAAUUAUUGUCUUUCUAUUAUUUAACCGAAUAAUUUGAGUGAUCAAUAAAAAACUAAAUUUAAGUAAUUUAAUUAACUAACUAACACGAUAAAGAACAAAUUAGGAAAAUAAUCGAUAAUGUGGUCUCGACAUGUAUAACCGAAGCAAGUUCUAGAAUAACUAAUCAAUGUGACAUACUCACAACUAAAAUAAAAUGAGCACGAAAGAAAUAUAUGCUUUAUAGGCUCAAAAACUCAUAAAAAUUAUGGUUUUGAUGUUAAACUUGUGUGUAGAAGCCCAAAUUUGCCCGGGCCCGUACCAAAUAAACCAAACCAAAAUCAAUUAACAAUCUAUAAGUCCAAAAAAUUUACCCAAAUACAAGCCCAACUACCCAAACCCAAUUCAGCCCAAAAUAAACCUAGCCCAUAAGCUAAACUAGUGACAGAAACCCUAACUUACCCUAACCACCAACUGUUCUGCCGCCGCCACUCCUUCAGUGCCGCACGUCUGCCCUCUGCCACCACCAACUCAGCCACCAACUCAGCUACCAACUUUGCCACCUGCACCUACAAAAUCAAAGAGGAAGUGACAGCAAAUAAUAAUAGAGAAAAAGUGUAAAAUGGCUAUAAAAGCCAAGCAAAAAAUCAUUGUGAAGGGGGCUUCAUCACUGUAAUAGGGUUUUUUUUCUUUUAUUUCUUCUUCUUUUCUUUCGGUUAAAAACCGAAUCUGCUGUAAGGAAGGAUUUCCUCUUCCCUUUUUUUUACAAACAAAAGAGAAAUAAAUAUCCAAGAAAAAAAGAAGAGAAACGAAAAGGUUUUCCUAGUUUUCUAAUUUCAUUAAUUUAUUAUUUCGUUUUUCUACUUUUGAUUUGUAAUAAUAUACAUAUUAUAAAUAUAUAUAACACAAAAAAAGUAAAAAAAUAUACCUUUUUUGAAUUUUCCGGCAACCGUGUACGGUGGCCGGCGCGGCGGGGCUGACGGCGGUCGAUGGCGAUUUCUCGCCAGAUUCUGGGCAAUGCCGAAGAAUGCAGAGAGAGAGAGAGAGAGCUUUCUCUCUGAUUUUUUUUAAAAAUGAAGAAGCUGUUUGUUUUUUUGGUUUUUUUAAUAUUUAUAUUAAACACAAAACAGCGCCGUUUUGGUAAAGGGGGAUCCGCGCGUUGACCCGACUCGACCCGAAGGGUUAGCGUGUUUUCGCUGGAGGGGAUAUUUGCGCGCGCAGUCCCUCCUAUUUUGCGAUGUGUUGCAAUUCGGCCCUUUUUCAUUAUUUUCUUUUAUUUUUAAUUUAGCCCCAUAAUUUCAUUCUUGCUUCAAUUUAGUCCGCUGCAGCGCCGCGUUUUGGGAACUCCGUCUAUUUACUGUUUUGGUCCCUCUCUGUUUGGCGCGAGUUGCAAUUUAAUCCUUUUUUGUUUUUUUAUUUCGAAUUGGCCCUGUAUCUUUGUAUUUAUUGCGAUUCAGUCUAUUUUUAGCAUCUUUUAUUGUUUAGCUAAUUAUUUUUAACAUUAUUAUUUUUAAUAUUUUUACUAUUAUUAUUAUUAUUAUUAUUAUUAUUAUUAUUAUUAGCAUCUUUCCUAUUAUUAUUAAUAUUAAUGUUAUUAUUAUUAUCAUUAUAUUUCUAUUUAUAUUUACUUAUGUAAUUUUAAAUGUAUGUGCCAUAUUAUAUUAUAGUAUUAUUAUAUAAGUGCUUAUAUAUAUUUCAUAUAUAAUUUAUUUAAUAUAUAUAUUAAAUACUUUUUAUAUAUACAUAUUUAUAUACGUAUAUCUAUAUACUCUUUUUCCUCAUGAAUAUAUGUAUACAUACUCAUAUAUAUUUUUUAUUUUAUUUUAAUAAUUUUAAAACAUGCAUAUACAUAUUUUUCAUAUUUUUAUAAAUUUAUGUGCGUACACAUGUUUUUAUAACAUACAUACUUAUAUAGUAUAUAUUUUUUUCGCAUUUUAUAAUCUAUAUACAUAUGUAUGUGUAAAUACUUAUAUUUUAUAUCUUAUAAUUCAUAUAUACAUCUUUCAUAUUUUCAUAAUUUUAUGUAUAUACAUAUAUAUAUAUUUCCCUUAUAUGUACAUACAUAUUUUUCAUAUUUUAUGAUUUUCAUAUAUUUUCCUUUAUUUUUUUAUGUUCAUUUAUGUAUUUAUUUAUAUGUCCAUUUUUAUGCUUUAGUUUAUUUAUUUAUUUAUUUGCUAUGGUAUAUGCAUGAUUGAUUUAUUUUAUCAUUCGUUUUUGUUCUUUUUUUAUUCACAUUAUCAUGUUUAUUAUUCCAUUAUGCAUGUAAAUAUCAUAUUUCAAAAAAGGAAAAUAUUUCUAAUUGAGGCAAUAUUUAGCGUUUGGAAAUUCGAGAAAACGUACCUUAAUCUGCUAGGUUUCGAUUUUUCUCAUUCAACCAAAUAACUAAGUAUCCUUUUAAAAAUUUCAAAAUAAGGCAAUGUUUUGCGUUUGGAAAUUCGAGAAAACAUGCCCUAAUGUGCUGGGUUUCGAUUUAUCUCGUUCAACCAAAUAGCCAAAUAUCCUUCCAAAAAUUUCAAAAUAAGGCAAUGUUUUGCGUUUGGAAAUUCGAGGAACGUGCCCUAAUGCGCGGGGUUUCGAUUUCUUGUUUAACCAAAUAGCCAAAUAUCCUCUUGAAUUUGAAUCCAUGCCAUUCGAGUUUUUUAAGGAUCGUAUUUUAAAUUUCUUUAAAGUUUUCAAUAUUCGACUUUAAGACAUUAACUAAUCAACUAGGUACCAAUUUUGGGCGUAUCAAGGGUGCUAAUCCUUCCUCGUGCGUAACCGACUCCCGAACCCGUUUUUCUAAAUUUCGUGGACCAAACUUGUUGUUUUAAUAAAAUCAAAUCGUUUAUUAAAAAUAACCGCUUUUCGAGGUGAUCCGAUCACACCUCAUCAAAAAGGAUCGGUAGCAACUCCCAUUUUCAUUUUCAUUUUCAAAAAACCCAAGUCGACCCCGUUUUCAUUAAAAAUGGUGUCAAGAUUGUGAAUUUAAGAUUUCAAGAUAAUGUUUCAGUUCAGAGAGAUAGUCUACAAUAAUAGUUUUUGAAAAACAACUUAUCAUACUUGACUCUCUCGUGUCUUAAAAUGUAAAUAUAAAAAUGCACAAAUUAAUCCCAAAUAGAAUCAAUAAAAACUCCAAAUUAAAAAAUUUUAGGUUUGAGAAAAUUACUUAAACAUAAACAACAAUUCAGAGAAUAUAUCGCUUAAACAUAUAAAAUCCUCCCCACACUUAAGAUAUACAUUGCCCUCAUUAUACAAAGAAAUAUAAAGAAUAUAAGAAAAAUAUCAAAAGAGAGGAAGAGAACUGAAAUUACCUUGAAUUUGGAUGAUUUAGCAAAAAUAGUAAAAUCUAGAAAUGUAAGAUAUCAUAACUUAAGUACAUGGUUCCAAGCACACUAAUAAGAAAAUAGAAAAAAAUAAAAGAAGACAAAGAGAUAACAGAACAAAUAAAAAAACAGUUGAAAAGCAUAACAAUAAAGUGCAUAAUAAAAUAAAAUAAAACAUAUAAAUCGGUAAAAUAAAAUAAAAUAAAUAAAAAAUUUAAAAAAUAAAGUAGAUGAACCGGGUUGGGUUUGGGGUAGAAAGGAACAAAAAUAAAAACUCUAACUUUAAAAAAGGGUACACGACCAUGUGUCAGGCCAUGUGAGCUAUAGGGAUGGGUAGUCCAGUUGUGUAUCUCUCUGAGGCUGUGUGACCUAUUAGAAAAUUUUCUCCAGUAUUCACACAGUCUGUGACACGGCCGUUGGCACACACGGUCGGGUUGCCAGGCUGUGUGUAAUCACCUAGACCCUGUGUUGUUGUCGUUCAUUUCUCCCACGGUCGUAUGGGUCACACGACUGUGUCACCAGGCCGUGCGACUUCACUCAGACCGUGUGUGUCAAAAAUUUGUAAAAAUAUUGGCUCCAAUAUUCACAUGGUCCACGACACACCCGUGUAGUAACAUCUCAUUUUUCAGUGAUGUCAGAAAUAGUAGUUUCGAGACCAUAACUCUGACGUAUCAAUUCAUAAAUAUUAAUUAUUUAAUAUUACGAGGUCAUUAGUGUCGUAUUAAAAUUUGGUUAGGAAAUUUUAUCGUUUGGAUAGUUAAUUAAGUAAAAAGGACUAAAUUGUAAAAAGUAGAAAAAUAAAUUGCAAUUAGUUAAGGUUACCAAAUAGCUAUAGAAAAGUAAAUUAAAGGAUUAGGAUGGUAAUUAAACCAUUUCUUUUCAUAGUGGACAGUAAUUGAUGAAAUUUGAAUGAAAUAAUAAAGGGUAUAAUAGUAAUUUAAUUAAUAAGUAAAUUUAUAACAAAAUCAAAUAGGAAAAAACAACUCCAUCUUCUUUAUUUUUUUUCUUUCAAAAGCUGAAAACCCUAGAAAUUUUGCAGUAAGCUUUGAUUGAGCUUUAGUCCUUUGAUUUGGUGAGUAAAUCUCGCUCAUUUUUAGUAAUUUUUAUGUUUUUGAGCUCGUAUUAGAUUGAUUUAGCUAACCCGAGGACUAAUUUGUAAAGCUUUUAAAUGUUUUGGAUUAUGCCAUUGUUGAGUUUGAAUUAUUCUUGAAGCUUUAUGGAAGAAUAUUGAGUUUGGCUGUUAGUUAGGACUAUUUUGUAAAGUAGUUUUUUUUAUUUUAAUGUUAAUGAUUAAAUUGUUAAAAUGGUAAAAAUUCCAAGGACUUGUUAUGAAUUAACUAGAAAUAUAGGUUGUAAUGAGGUCCUAUAAUAUUCGGCUAGGCUAGGUUUUAAAUAAAAUUGGUUAAAUUGCAUGUUUGGGGCCUAAGGACUAAAUUACAUAAAUGUAAAAUGUUGGGGGUAAUUUUGCGAAAAAUGUCUAAAAGGGCUUAAUUGCAUAAAAUUAUUUAAUUUUUCUAUUAGAAUUAGUUAAUUGAAUGGAAUUAUUAUUCUAGAUCAAGAACGAGUUAAUAAUCGUGAAAAAGCGAAAGUUGUAGAAUAGUCCUUGUACUUUUGACAUCGCUGUAGUUUAGCCUGGUACGUUCGUUCAGUUUAAUUGUAAAAACAUUUUAAAUUCUCAUUAUAUAAACUUAGUUAUUGAAUGUUGAUUAAUGAAUUAAUGUUUGUACAUGGAAAUACAAUUAAUGAGUUAUUAUCGCUUGAUCACUGAUGAAAUGCCCUGAGCCAGAUAAACGUAGGAUAGAGUACAAUUAGCAUGCCAAUAGGUUAUUUGCGCGCGGUACGAUAUUGGUAUGAGGUGUGAUGAUGCUUUCUGAAUAUUCUCUGUUCACUAAAUAUACUAAGGUCCUACAUUUGUUGCGAAUUAUCAAGUUAUAUUACAGUGUUUAUCUAGUGAGUUACAUGGGCGGACACAUGGGUGGGCACACGGGGGUGUGGGGUAGUCACACGGGCGUGUGGGAUAACCACAGGACCAUGUUUAGAGUCAUACAGUCUAGGCUUUGUCACACGAUCAUGUGACCCCUAUUUUGAAUUUUUUUAUAUUUUUGUCCUAAAUCUCUUGUUUUGUUUCGAAUUGGUCCUUAAUUGUUCCAAAACUAUUAUAAGGCCACAUAGGCUCGAUUUAAGGCCCAUAUAUGUAUGAUUUAUUCUAAUUUUAGUUAUUUAUUAUUUCUACUAAUUAAUCUGAUAAACUUGGUGCUAUCGAUUAUUGAUUCUUUUGAAUGUACGUUAAUAUGCCGUAACCUUAAUCUGACGACGGGUAUGGGUUAUGGGUGCUACAUUUAGUGGUAUUAGAGCCAUAAUUUAGUCGAUUCUUGGGCUGAAUGUAGCGUAAAGGAGGUCUAAAAAUUACAUGCCAUAUAAACCUAUGAUAGUGUGGUAUUAAUUGAUCCGAUGUAACCCCUUUUUCUUAUAGAUUUUUAAAGAUGUCAUCUGAUUUUGAUCGUGAUGAAAGUAAUGAAGUUAACUGUAACAUUCUAACUGCUGGUUUUGAAGCUAGUCAUAGCAUACUGAUUCCACAAAUGUCUGGAAACGAGGUUAAAAAUAUGUUCUUUGGUUUGAUGGGUCAAUGGAUCAUUGAGUUUAUGAGAAAUAAUCCUGUGGCUUAGCAACCUCUACCACCAGUAGUACCCUCUGUUGUACCUUUUGUGAUACCUCCAUCCCUUCCGAUAGCUAAAACGAGUCGACGGGUCCCAAUUGAAAAAGUUAGAAAAUAUGGUGCUGAGGAAUUUCGGGGCAGGACUGAAGAUGAUCCGGCUAAAGCUGAGUAUUGGCUGGAGAAUAUUCAACGAGUUUUUGGUGAUAUGACCUUUUCUCUUGAUGAUUAUCUUAGAUGUGUUGUAUCAUUGUUGAAAGACAAAGCUUACAGUUGAUGGUUAACGUUAACAGUAGUAGUACUAAGAGAUAACAUCAAUUGAGAAUUCUUCAAAACAGAAUUUAAAAAGAAAUAUGUCAGCAAAAGAUACCUGAAAUGGAAAAAGAAAGAAUUCCUGGAAUUAAAAUUGGGAAACAAAUCAGUAGUUGAGUAGGAGAGAGAAUUUGUGCAUCUCUGUAAGUUUGCUCGAGAAAUUAUGCUAAAUUAGGGAGAAAUGUGUAUCCGUUUUGAAAACGAGUUAAAUGAUGAAAUCAAGAUGAUGAUCGACGGGACUGAGAUACGAUAGUUUGUAUUUCUAUUUGACCGAGCUCUAAAGAUGGAAGAAAUUUAUAAUCAUUUUCUGCACCACCACUAAAAAAAGCAAAAGAAGAUGAUAACCGUAUCACUGCGUCAUCUGGGUUUCCAAGCAUAAGUAAACUGAGCGAACAUGAUUCCAAGUUCUAGAAUAAACCUGCCGAUAGUGUGGUCAGUGUUCGCAAUACUCCGAGACCGGUGUGUGAACACUGUGGUAAACCACAUACUGGUACUCAACACAUACUGUGUAGGGCCAAAGUGAGUGCUUGUUUUAGGUGCGGUUCAACUGAUCAUUUUGUAUGCAAUUAUCCAAAAAUGGUGAGAAAGACUGAUGAUCAGAAUGAAAAACCUGUGACCAUGCCGCAGAAGAGCAAAUGUCCUAGUAAGAGUAGCAAUACAGGGGUGAAUCGCAAUGGCACUAAAGAUAUAAUAGCCAGAUCUGAAACUAGAGCACCUGCACGGACUUAUGUUAUUUGAGCCAGAGAAGAGGCUGUCGCGCCUGAUGUCAUUACUGGUAUAUUUUGUCUUUUUGAUGUUACUGUAUAUGCUUUGAUUGAAUCUGAGUCGACACAUUCGUAUUUUUGCACUUCUUUUGUAACGCCCCAAAAUUUUAAUUUUGGGUAUUGUCAAUGUGUGACACAAAAUAUCUGUCUGCUUUAGUGGUUAUGUGUUCUGGGUGUGUUUGGGAGGUCCCAAGUUCAAGCCAGGACUUAGGCAAAUAUCAUUGGUCAGUAGGCUUUUAAGUAAAAGUUGGCAAAUAAUUAAUAGAAUGGGCUUGCUAGUCUGGUGGAUAAGUGGAGUGUUGGUGUGAAGGAGGUCCUAUGUUCGAAUCUUGGCGUGGGCAUUAUUUUUGCUUGUGUGUCCAGGAGAGUUUGAGAUGGAUUAAAAAUCUGAGUAGUGGAUUUAGUGAGGAGUUUGAUGGAGAGGAAUAAAGGAUUGGGAUGGUUAUCAAAUAUUCUGUUCAUCUUUUUUUUCCUUUUUUACUUUCCUAAAAAUCCCUCCACCCUCUUGCCGUUUUUUGCUCUCUUUCACCCUUCAUCUUCUUGAUUUUUCUUUUCCCACUCUGCCUCAUGUUGUUCCACGUUUGUCUAUAACCAUUCGGUAAGUUUUAGAUAAAUGAUUUGUCUCUGUGUGUUAACUUUUUUCUGAAGUGUUUUUUAAGCCAAUUAGGGGAGGAUUCAAGGGCUCGUCAUCACCAAUCGGAGUCUUAGUUUGUGCAGGAAUUACCGUUCAUUGGUUGAAGGUAAGGUUUAGUCGCUUAUUGGUUAAAACCUUGAUACGAGUUCGAUUUGGGAUCACAUUAUAUGAGAUUAAAUUAGUGUUAUUUGUUCAAUUAUAGGCUUUAGAAUGCUCGGGGACUAUUUUAGCAUCAAACAAAACCAAGUGUGUACCCGAAACACAAAAAAUGGGAUUUGGCGAAAAGCCAAAAUUGCUUGCUGUUUGGACAGCAGUAGUAGGCUAAUUUUGAAAAAUCACCAUAAAUUUUGGAAAUUGAAUUAGAGAAUGAAAAAAUAUGGAAUUAAAUAUUAUUGAGUCUAGUUUCUCAUAGAAGAAACGCUGUAAGUAAUGGAAUUGUAAAUCAUGAGAUACAAUAAGUUUUGUGAGACAAGGUCAGAAUGAAUUCAGGUUCCCCUAUUUUGUCUUUGGAAAAUCAUCAAAAAUUGGAGAAAAAUAAUUAGGGGUUAAAAUUUUCACGUUUAAAUUAUUAAUGAGUAUAUUUUCAAUAGAAACAAAUGGUAACAUCAUCCAAAUUUUUUACAAAGAGAUAAUUAAUUUUUUACAGCAGAACAGGGAUAAGAUUGAAGAUUUUACUGUACUUAUUGGCUUAACCAAAAAUUUUGAAAAUUUUAUCGCAGAAAGGUAUUUGAGUAUAGUUUCAACGAAAUCAAGCGAACCUUAAUUUGGAAUUCUGUAGCUCAAGAUAUAAAUAAUUUGGUAACAGUGACUCAAGUAGACAGCUUUGAAGGAACAUAUAAGUAAAUAGUGAAAACAUAUAUGAAUAUUUAGCUAGCACAGGUUACAUUAAAAAUGGAUCAUGCGGCCAAGGCCAAUUUGGGUCGAGUGAGCCACACGGAUGUGUGGGCCCACAUGGGCGUGUGAGCCCAUUUUCACUAAAUUGAUUACUAAGGUUGCACGGGUCGCCCAAGUCGACUGUGGACCUACUGUAGGGUCGGUAAGCAUCACUUAGACCCCUAAUUGUAUGAAUUGACUGUUUGAUUUAUAUAUAUGUUAAGCAUGAUGAUAGUAUGCUUGUAUAAUGAACUGGUUAUAUGUAUUAAUGUCCUGAGAUAGCAUGUCAUAACUUGUAUGUUGCAUUGCAUGGGGUAGGGUUAAUUAUAUUUGGAGGAAGUGUACUGAAAGGCUCUUAAGCCUAACAUACUAGCAGCUCAGCUGCAAAUUACUGUUUUGUGCCGCAUUCGGUACUACCUGGAGUGUAAGGAUGGGUGGGUUGAUUUGAUCCCCACAUGGAGUGUAGGGUUGGACAAAGAUGGUGUGUAGAUGCUGGUUGGGUAAGACUUUGUUACUGAAUACUACAUGACUGUUAGUGAUACUGUGAUGGGCUAAUGCACUACUGCAUAUUUGAUAUUGUACUGAGAUGGGCUAAGGCCCAAACUGUUAUUGAUAUUGAAAAAAAGGCUUAGGCCCAUGACUGCUUUAACUGUGCACUGUGAUUUGCUAUUGUUUGUUCUCUGUGGGAUUACACACUGAGUUUUCGUAAACUCACCCCUUUUGUUUAAAUGUGCAUAGGUAAUCCCCAGAUCUAGACGGAUCGGUGCGGCGGAGGACUCGACGGUAACCACGGUUUUGGACUUUCAUGGUUUUUAACCCAUAUUUACGAUAAUUGGUUUUAUUUCUAUUUUAUUUUUACUGGCAAAGUUUUUGGGUUGUAAUUGGACUUUUGGGCUUUGGUUUUGGAUUUUAAUUAUCUUUACCUUAUAGAUUACAACUGGUAGUAGUAGGAAACCUCGGUUUUCAAAAGAAACAAAUGUUUUUCCUAAACACACGAUUGUUUAAUCUAUUUUAAAAGCUUCCGCAAACGAAUAACGUUUUGAAACUAUCGAUUAAAUGAGCAACACAAUUUUGGAACUAAUAAGAUAUUAAGAUAAGCAAUUUAAUGGAAAUAGUUUUAACGCGACGACACGGUUUUCAAACACCCUAUCAUGUGACAUCGCUAGAUCCGGCCAUAACAUCUGGGCCGGGUUUGGGGUGUUACAUCUUUGGCUAUGGAUGAAAAUUUACUUAUUGAUUCAAUCGAAUUUGAUGUUCAAGUUACAAAUCCACUAGGUCAAAGUGUAAUAGUUAAUUUCAUAUGUCAUAAAUAUCCACUAAGAGUUAAGGGCUGUUAAUUUCUCGCUGAUUCAAUGUUUCUACCCUUUCAUGAAUUUGAUAUAAUUCUAGGAAUGGACUGGUUGACGUUACAUGAUGCUGUGGUAAACUGUAAAUUGAAACGGGUUAAUUUGAUAUGUUCAACGGGUAAACUGAUUACAGUUGAAUCUGACAGAGCAAACAGUGUUACAAGAGUUGUUUCAGCUAUUUCUACGCAAAAAAUGAUUCGUAAGGGUUGUGAGGCAUGUCUGGCUUAUAUAUUGGAUACUCAAGAUUUUGGGUCAAAGCUGGAUCAGGUACCUAUUAUUAAUGAAUUUACAGAUGUAUUUCCUAAAGCGUUAUUGGGAUUGCCACCAAACGUAAAGUUGAAUUUGUUAUCGAUCUGAUACCCGAGAUUACACUAAUAUCUAUUCCACCGUAUAGAAUGGCACCAACUGAGUUGAAAGAACGUAAAACACAAUUGCAAGAAUUGUUAGACAGAGGUUUUAUCUGACCGAGUGUAUCUCCAUGGGGUGCACUAGUGUUGUUUGUGAAAAAGAAAAACGGUUCGUUGAGAUUAUGCAUCAAUUACAUGUAGCUGAAUAAAGUGACAAAAAAGAAUAAAUAUCCUUUGCCUUGUAUUGAUGAAUUGUUUGAUCAGUUGAAAUGUUCAACCGUGUUUUUUAAGAUAGAUCUCUGAUCAUGAUAUUACCAGAUGCAAGUAAAAGAUUGUGAUGUGCCGAAGACUAUUUUUCGAACUUGAUACGACCACUAUGAAUUUUUGGUAAUGCCUUUCUGAUUAACUAAUGCUCCGGCUGCUUUCAUGGAUUUAAUGAAUCAGGUUUUUCAACCUCAAUUGGAUAGAUUUAUGGUUUUAUUUAUUGAUGAUAUAUUGAUCUACUCUAAAAUAGAAUCUGAGCAUACUUAGCAUUUGAGAACUGUAUUACAGAUUCUGCACAAUAAACAAUUGAAUGCAAAAUUCAGCAAAUGUGAGUUCUGGCUUCAAAAGGUUAGAUUUCUUAAACACGUGGUUUCUGUAUAUGGGAUACGUGUUGAUCCAAGUAAGAUUUUUAUCGAUGUUAAUAGGAAAGCUCCGAAAAAUAUUUCAGAGGUACGAAGUUUUUUGGGAUUAGCAAGUUAUUAUCGUCGCUUUGUUAAAAACUUCUCUAUAAUAGCUUCACCGAUGAUUAAGUUGCUAUAGGAGAAUGUUUGUUUUGUUUGGUCAGAUGAGUGUCAGCAGAGUUUUGAUCAAUUAAAAAGAAUGUUGACAGAAGCUCCAGUAUUGACACAACCUAAAUCUGGGAAAAAAUUUAUUGUAUACAGUGAUGCGUCACUUAGCGAACUGGGUUGUGUAUUAAUGCAAGCCGGGAAAGUAAUAACUUAUGCUUCUCGUCAGUUAAAGCCACUUGAGAGGAACUACUCGACUCACGACUUAGAGUUAGUUGUUAUUGUUUUUUCUCUGAAGAUUUGGCGUCACUACCUUUACGGUGAAAAAUGUCACAUAUUUACAGAUCAUAAAAGUCUGAAAUACUUGAUGACUUAAAAGGAAUUUAAUUUGAGAUAGCGACGGUGGCUAGAGCUAUUAAAAGAUUAUGAUAUUGUGAUUGACUAUUAUCCCGGGAAAGCUAAUGUUGUUGCAGAUGCAUUAAGUCAGAAGUCAUUAUUUUCCUUGAGAACAUUGAAUACGCAUUUGACACUAGAGGGUGAUUGUUCUAUUUUAGCUAAAUUGAGGGCUAGACUGUUAUUUCUUCAGCGGAUUCAGGAGUUACAAGAUGACGACCCGAAGUUAUUAGCUAAACGAGAGUAAAUCUAGAAUGAUCGGACUACACUGACUUAUUCGAACUUACUCAUUAGAUUUGUGGUCCCGAAAUCAUUAUUGACUCGUAUAAUUUAAAUACUAAUUAUUUUUGUUUGUUUGUCGGUUGGGUUUCUAUUUUGUUUCUGUACAUUCUAUUUUUGAUUAUUUAUCCAGUCAAAUAUUUUUCAAAAAAUUAAAAAAUUAUAGAAAAUUAAAACAAAAACGCCGAAACUUAAUAUUAGCCACCACUAGAUUAAAAAUUGUUAGUCAAUUAAUAAUGAGUUUAUCUUUACACAAUUGAAAAACUAAUUUUCUUAAUAAUAAACUUUGAAAAAAAAUCCCUCUUUCAACUCUUUCUACUUUCAGUUUUCAUGUUCCCUCAACUCUCAUAGCUUCCCCUAGUAACCAAAACUAACAAUCCCUUCUUUUAAAAAGAAAAUGAAACCUUUUUGUUUUUUGGGGGGGUUUAAAAGAGUAUAUAAGCCUCUGAAGUUUAACAAAAGAAAAUUAAUUAAAUUUUUCCAUCUUCAAAAUCUGAAAUUAUAUCAAUUAAAUUCUCUGAUCAACUCUGACGUGACUAUUAAUAAUAGUACCCAUAUAUAUAUAUGGAAUUAGUUGGCAAUAGGGAAAGUAUAAAACAUUAAUUGAUGUUGCAAACAGCCAUAAAAAAUAUAGAACCGGUAGACAUGAACCAUCAUUUCCUUCACUGGUAUUUUAAUUAAACUUUCACCUUGUUGUAUUCAACAAAAUAAUUAAGAAAUAAUUAAAAAUAUGCAAGUAAAAAUACAUCAAUCAGAGAAAUAGAACGCGAUAAGCUGUAGCAAAGACGCAACAAAAACCAUGGGCGGGUGAAGGUGUUUAGACUAAUUAAUUCUCUAAGUUUGGGUUUGGCUCAAAUUUUUUUUUUUUUUUUUUUGCUUAAAAUCAACUCAAUUUAAAGAAGAUAAAUCUUGCGUUUGGUCAUAUUUAAUUUUUUAAAAUUAGUUUUUAUUUAAAAUAAUUUUAAAAAAAUAAAAUAAAAUGUACUAAAAAAUGCAAAAAUAAAAUGCAUUAUCUGGCCGUCAGCUGCACGUCCCUCUACAAUCGUCUCUAUCAAAAAAGCAUUAACAUUUUCAACUUUUAACUGACAAAUCCCAUUCUCCCAUGGACCAUUUGGUGAAACUAAACUUUUAAGUGAAUAUAUUAAAAUGGUAAUAUAAAUAUUUUAAAUUAAGAGCAAUUAAUGAAACAUAAUAAAAUUCAUUUGAUCUAAUAUAAUUUUAAAUGAGAGGCGUUUAGGGAAAGUAAUGCGAAGAUGUAAAUUUAAUUAAUUCUCAACUUAAAAAAUAAAUAGAAGGGUAUUUAAUGGAACGGAGAAUCAACAGUUGAUGUUGCAGACGCAUUGUGGUUUUAAAUUGUAAUAACAAUCUUAAAUUAGUUGGCUUAGAUUUGUGUGUAAAGCAUGGCCCAGGAUGAUUAAUGCUUUCAGUCAACAUUUUAAGCUUUUUGUUGCAUAUAGAAAUGGUAGUUUUAUUUGCUGUUAAUCCGGUGAUAAGAAUGGCAGCAUUGCAAAUUCGAAACUCAUAUUUGGCUCUUGCCUUCUAAAAUCCCCCAAAAUUUGCUUCGAACAACACUGCAAAGCAACCAACAAGAGACUGUAAUAAGCCUGCAAAUUCAAAUGGAAAAAGCAGAAAAAAAAAAAAAGGCGAAUGAGUCUGUCAGACAACUGCGUGACCUUCCCAGCCGCCCAAGGCUAGCUGAGAACGAUCCUCUGCGGUCAAAGUGAAACCAGCAAGGGAAUCACCAGACCAAUAAUCACGCUCAGGUCACACAGUCCUGGUUCAUCAACCAGACUUGGAAUCCUGUCUCCUUUGAGCUUAAGGACACAGAGGUACGAGCCUAUAGAACAGAUCCUGUUCAAGUAAGGUCGUAUCCUUUCAAAUCUUGAUUCUGUUUUAAAUACCACUGGAUUAUGUCUUUUCUUUCCAAUGUGGGAUACUGAUCAGUUUCUGAUUCCAUAAUCUCUGGUCGCCGCAAUGUUGGAUCCAUUCGACUUUUUUUUUUUUAGAGUUAUCAACACAAUUAAAUAUAUCUAUUAAGGCCUGAAUAGAAUAUUUGUUUACCGUAUUACCCAGCUAUUAUAAUAAUUUUGAUUACCCAUGGAUCAUUAACCUGUCUAAUGCUUUCUUCACAGCUUAUAGCCUUAAACUUGAAUUCGUUCUUUUAAAUCAUUAUGUAUCCAUGUGAUUAAACUAAUGGGAAGUGAAUGCAGAUGCAGCAGUCAAUGGUGGUGGUAAUUUGCUGCGUUUUUACACAAUGUAUUAUGUGAUUGGAAGGUGGUUUCGUAAGUUCUGAAGAACGGUGGUCCAGACCAGAGAUCCCAGAGGCAGUACAAAUAACUCUCGCAUGUUCUUAGAACACUUAGAAUGCCAUGGGAGCGCUUCAUUAAUGCCUUCAGUUUUGCCUUUGCCUGAAGAACUAUGUAACCCAGGUUUGUAUUGACAAACGAACUCAGAAAGGAAAAAAGAAAGAAAAAGAAAAAGAAAAAGGGUCUGUCAAACAACCGUGUGACCAGCCCAGCUAGACAAGGCAAGCUGAGAACGAUCCUCUGCGGUUAAGGUAGACCAGCAAGGAAUCACCGCACCAUCAAUCACGCUCAGAUCACACAGUCUCGAUUCAUCAACCAGACAUAGUAUCCUGUCUCCUUUGAGACUCAAGGAUAUAGAGGUGCGAACCUAUAGAACAGAUCCUGUUCAAGUAAGGUCGUGCCCUUUUGUGCCUUGGUUCUAUUUUAAAUACCACUAAACUUUGUCUUUCCAUUUCGAUGUGGUUCCGCGUUUUAUCCUACACGUGCCUUCCAUACUGUCUGGCUGGCACAAUGAUUGGGAUCCAAUGAACAUGGUUAAAUAUAUCUAUUUAACCCUAAACAGAACAUUGUUCAUUAUAUCACCCUCACUAUUACAAUAUUUCUUAAAUGAUUGCCUACCGAUUAAACUAAUAAAGAAACUAUCUGAAGGAGAUUAUUCUUCAGACAACCGAUGGGAAGUGAAUGCAGACGCAGCAGUCAAUGAUGACGGUAAUUUGGUAUGUUCUUAUACUAUUGUUAGGUGAUUGGAAGGUGGUAUGAUAAUUUGUGAAAGAAAUUGUGGCCCAAAGAUCCCAAAGGCAGUACAAGUUGUUGAAGUUCAUAACUCACAAACAACUAACCCAGGAUGGUCCCUUAUUACACUAGAAUGCCAUGUUCUUCUUGUCAUGCCAUUGAAGAGUUAAGUUUGCCUUUUACCUGCAGAAUUAUGUAAUAUAUAUAUUGCUGGAUUAAACCAGGUUUUCCUAAUUAUCAACCCCUUUUCCAAGUUCGAUUUUGCAUAUUAUGUAAAUAUAGAGGAAACCGUAGGGAGAUCCAUGUUUAUAGAAAAAGAUAAGGUGAGAGGUACAUGUAUGAAUGCUGAGAUUCAAGACAGGAUUUAAUUCGUUGUAGGCCCCCAAAGUGUUUUUGGGAUAUUUAUUGCCGUGGGCUAGAAAGAAAGGAUUAUAUAUUGUUUUUGUCAAUAUAUGGAGAAGAAAAUCGUAUUGUAUAUGUUGACACCAUUUUUUUUUGUUUAAAAACGAAGUCGACUUGGGUUUUGAAAAAUGAAACGGGAGUCGCCACCAAUCCUUUUUUAUGAGGUGUGAUUGGAUCACCUCGAAAAGUUGUUGUUUUUAAUAAACAGUUUGAUUUUAUUAAAACAAGUAGUUUGGUCCACGAAAUUCAGAAAAACGGGUUCGGGAGUCGGUUACGCACGAGGAAGGAUUAGCACCCUCGUAACGCCCAAAAUUGGUACCUAGUUGAUUAGUUAAUGUCUUAUUGUCGAAAAUUGAGAACUUUGAAGAAUUUUUUAAAAAAUACGAUCUUUGUAUUAAAACGUUAAAAAUUUUAGGAAAAUGGGCAUAUUUCAUGUUAUUCGAGAAAGAGAAUCAUAUCCAGUAAGUUAUGACACAAUAUCUCGAAUUCCCAAUACGCGAAUGAAAAAUGUUUAUUUAAAAGAUAUUUAACUAUCUUGGAUUAAAAAAGGGAUCACAACCAGUAAGUUAGGACACGAACCUUUUUUAAUUCCCGACAUUGUUUAAAACUUGAGUUCAAAAAUAUCCGUGUAUUUAGAUUUAUUGUGAAAAUCGAAACCCAGUAAGUUAGGGUACGAUUUUUCAGAUAUCUAAACACGAGAUUUAAUUUAUUUGAAACAGAUUUUGAUAUAUCGGGUAAAAUGAAACACGAUACUAAUAUGUAUUGCAAUAUAUAUAAAAAAACAUAUGUAUAUGAAUUAUAAAAUAUAGAAAAUACGUAAGAAAAAUAUAGAUUUUGAAAUAUAAAUAAUAUGUAUAAGUAUGUGUAUAUAUAUAAAUAAAAACACGUAUGUACAUAUGUAUAUAUAUUAUGAAAUACAACCAUAUAAAAGUAUAAAUAUGUAUAUAUACAUAUAUAAAAAAAAGGGUAUGUGCAUACAUAUAUAUUACAUAAAAAUAAAAGAUAUAAGUAUGUAUAUCGUAAAAUAAAACAAUGUAAGUAUGUAUAUAUAUAUAAAAAAUAGACGUAUAUACAUGAAUGAUGGAUAUAGACGUAUAUGUAUGUAUAUAUAACAAAAUGUAUGCAUGUAUAUAAGCUAAAAAAUGUGUUUAUAAAGAGAUACGUAGAUAUAUAUAAUAAGAUAUAAAUAUAUACAUAAUAAGAUAUAAAGAUAUACAUAAAUAGUUAUAAUAGUAAUAAUAAUAGGACAAAUAUAUUCAAAAUCUAAAUAAGUAAAUAUAAAUAAUAUAUAACAAUAACAAUGUAAAACUAAAUGGUAUAAUAAUGGUAACGUAAAUAUACAUAUAUAUAAUGAGAAAAUAUAAUAAUAAUAGUUAGAUUAGUUAAUAAAACAACAAAAAUAACAAAAUGGGCCAAUUUGGGAUAAAAAUAAAAUUUAAAGGUUAAGACUAUAAUAAAAUGCGCAGAGGAGGACCAAAACAGAAGGGCGCGAAAGGGCGAAGGACCGAAUAGGGAAAUAACCCCUCGCUUAUUAAACGGCGCCGUUCUAGCAUGGUCUGUGCAUAAGGUCUAUGGACCAAAUCGCAAGAAAAAAAGGAUAUUUGGGGAAAUUAAAACAAAUAACAAAAAGGGGAUAGGACCCAAUUGUAAACGGCCUCAAACGUGGAAGGACUGAGGGUGCAAAUAACCCCUCUAGUCCAAAAACACGCGGAUCCCAAGCAGUUCGGGUUGGGUCGGUCCAAUCUAGACCAAAACGACGCCGUUUUGGUGCCUAAAGGGCAUGCCCAAAACUGCGUCGUUUUGGGGGCCUAUUUAAAUAAAAAUUUUCUCAAAAACAAUUCAUUUUCAGCUUUAAUAAAAAAAACAGUCUUCUUUUCAAAAUAUCCUCUCCCCAGCCUCUCCUGACGCCGGCCAGCCUCCGGCCAUCACAGUGGCCGGAAAAUUCAAAAAAGGUAUUUUUAUUUCUUUUUUUAUUUUCUAUAUUUGUGUAUUUAUAUAUUUAUUGUUUUUUUUUAAAAGAGUGAAAUAAAGAAAGUAGAUAUAUGUAUUUUCGAAGGGGAAAACUAAAGAAAAAUAAAUAAAAAAAAUGAAAGCAGAGAUCUAAGCACCUUAUUUGCCUUGGAUCUAUUCAAAAUUUUUUGAUUGAUAUUUGUCUGUUACAAGAAGGAGAGAUGAAAAAAGAAAAAGCCCCCUGAAAAUACAAUCUUUUCCGUAUUUAUAACCGAAUGCUCCCCUUUAUUCUUUGCUCUGUUUUCUUGUUUUGUUUCGUCUUUGCAGGUGACGGCGCAAGUGGGCAUAGUGGUGAUGAACGCGGAUGGGAUGUCCGGCGGCGGUGGCGGCGACUGGCAGUAGGCCAAGAGUUAAAAGGCUAAGGGGGAGGCGGCACCUAGGGUUUCAGUCUCUGAAACCCUAAGCAGAUAUUUUUUAGGGAAAUUGGGCCGGUACAUUUGGGCUUCGGUUUGGGUUGUAAUUGGGGUUUGGGUUGUAUUUGGGUAGGCUUAGUUUGGGCUGGGCAAAAUUGGGCUUGUACAGCUGCCCCUCUUUGCUCGUUGUCGUGUAACGAGAACAAAGCAAAGACUAAGAAAGACCAAUUUUGCCCGGUCUCACCACGUCUUGACUUCUUUUGAUGCUUCUCUUCAAGUAGCUUCACUCCAGUCCACUGUGUCUUGUUACUUCGAUCCACUCCACUGUAUUUCAAAGAAAUCUGACUUGUAGCUUCGAUCUUCUUCGCAGCAACUUAGGGGGAUGAAGUUUUUGGUUUUAGUCUAUUCCUCUGCAACUUCAGGGAUAUAAGACUUGACGUUCGUAGCUUCAAUUUGCCCCACUGCAACUUCAGGGAAGUAAGACUUAUAUAUUGAACCUGUUCCACUGCAACUUCAGGGGGAUAAUGUUAGUGACUUUAAUCCGCUCCAUGCUUCAACCUAUUCUGCUGCAACUUCAGGGAAAUAAGAUUUGACAUGAUAAGAAUCGUUAUCUACUGUCCGCUCCACUACAACUUUAGGGAGACACGACUUGUUGUUUUCAGUCUACUCCACUGCAUCUUCAGGGAAAUAAGACUUGUACCUUCAACCUACUCACUGAAACUUCAGGGAAAUAGGAUUCGUAGCCGAUCUGCUCCAUGCUUCAACCUAUUCUGCUACAACUUCAAGGAAAUAAGAUUCGACAUGAUAAGAACCGCUAUCUGCUGUCUGCUCCACUACAACUUUAGGGAGAUACGACUUGUUGUUUUCUGUCUACUCCACUGCAUCUUCAAGGGAAUAAGACUUGUAUCUUCAACCUGCUCCACUGCAACUUCAGGGAGAUAAGACUUAUAUUUUAACUUGCCCCACUUCAACUUCAGGGGUAUAAGGUUAGUGACUUCAACCUGCUCUACUGUAACUUCAGAGAGACAAAGUUUGAUAUGAUCUGCUCUAUUGCAACUUCAACUUGCCCCAUUGCAACUUCAUGGGGAUAAGGUUUGUUAUUUCAACCUGCUCUACUGCAACUUCAGAGAGACAAAGUUUGAUAUGAUCUGCUCUACUGCAACUUCAGAGAGACGAGAUCUGUUAUGAUAGAUUUAAUCCGUUCCACUGCAACUUCAGAAAAAUGCGAUUUGCUAUCUUUAAUAUGCUCCACUGCAACUUCAGGGAGAUAAGACUUGUACCUUCAACUUGCCCCAUUGCAACUUCAUGGGGAUAAGGUUUUUUAUUUCAACCUGCUCUACUGCAACUUCAGAGAGACAAAGUUUGAUAUGAUCUGCUCUACUGCAACUUCAGAGAGACAAGAUCUGUUCCACUACAACUUCAGGGAAAUGCGAUUUGCUAUCUUUAAUAUGCUCCACUGCAACUUCAGGGAGAUAAGGCUUGUGUUUUCAAUCUGCUUCCUAUCAGUACAGAAAGAUAAGGUCUGUCGUUUUUAGUCUGCUCCGCUGCAAACUCAGGGAGGUCAGGCUUGUGUCUUCGAUCUGUUUAACUGCCAGUACAGGAAAACAAGAUCUACAAUCUUCGACCUACUCCGCUGCUGCUCAGGGAGAUGAGACUAAUGGCUUAAAUCUGCUUUCUACUAUCUUGGGAAGAUAAGAUUCACCGUCUUCGAUCUGUUCCACUACUGCUCAGGGAGAUAAGAUCUGCAAUCUUCAACCUACUCCGCUACUGUUCAGGGAGAUAAGACUAUUCUUUAAUCUGCUUCACUGUUGGUAUAGGAAGACGAUAUCUGCUACUUUUAGUCUGCUCUACUGUAAACUCAGGGAGGACAGACUUGUGUCUUUGAUCUACUUCGCUACCAGUAUAGGAAGACAAGAUCUGCUGCUUUUAGUCUAUUCCUCUAUAAUUUCUGAGAGAUAGGACUUGGUAUGACGACUUCAAUUCAUCCCACUGCCACUUCAGAGGUAUGGGUAACUUCAUUGAUCUGUUCUCUGGGGAACAUGACCUGUAAAGUCCAUUUUAUGAACUUAUUUAUGCCUAAUGAUUAGGCUGUUAUGAUUAGAACGAAUCAAAUGCUCCUAACUAGGUGUGUAUGAUUGAUAUUUGUAUAAAUGAAGAAUGUCAUGAGAAUGAUCCCUUUUUAAUGCUUAGGUUAUCAUCACGCAAAAGCUUAUUAAGGCUUUAUCACUGACGUGCUACAACGCCUUCUUGCUCGGCUAGUAUAUCCAAAGAAACACUUAAUCUGAUUGCCCCCACUGUAAACCUCCAAGUUCAAUCCACUGGAUGCAAAAUUUGAAUCAUCUUUCUCCCGUUGUAACCCAAGGGUACAAAGAUCUGGCCUUUUCUCGAUCCUCUGCUAUCACAAUUCAAGUAUACAGAAUGUGAAACUCUUUUGUCUCCUACACCAUUCCCCAGGUGUUAUACCAAAUGUUUAUGCACAAUUGUAAAAUUUUCUUCUCCCAGAAGACCUUUUCUUAUUGCUUGGUGAACAUCGCUUGUUUGUUCAUUGAAACUCCAGUCUCUUGUCAUUUUGUUCCAUCAAUGUUUGGACAACAAAAUUUGAAAGGAUAGUCUUUAACUUAGACUCUUCCUUCUUAGAUAUUUCACCUUUUAAACUUGGUGUGUUCUAAACAAUAGUCUUGUUUCAAGUUCCAAUAUUAUUUAGAAACUUCUAGAGUAAUAUGAAAAAAUUCUCUUGUGAAAGUAUUAUUAGUCCAUUAAUCAUUAUUCUAAUACAACAUGCUAGCAAAAAGAUCAUAGCAAUGGAUAAUUAUAGAAUUGAUUUGAAAUCAUAGCUUGAAAUGAAUAAAUUAUCAAGAAUAAAAGAGGAAUUGAUUGGGAACAUGUACCUUGAAAAAUAAAUAAGUAAUCCAAGAAUAACAAAUUCAAUAUAAAUAGUAUGAGGACUAGAUUCCCCAGAUAUCGCAGCUUGAACUUCUCUGUACAAACUCUUUGAAAGACCAUUCUGAGUUUGACAUGUGUUUGGGAGAUCUAAAGGAGUUUGUUGAUGCCCCAAGAUGUCCCCUACCCUUUCCUGUUGAUUCAGGUAUAGCAAGAUCACCACAUGCCCCGGUUUGAUCAAAAUUUGAGCUGCUUUGAUUACCUCAUGCCCCAAUCUGAUCAAAAUUUGAGCCGCUAUGAUCGACUCAUGCCCCAAUUUGAUCCAAAAUUUGAGUCGCCAUUUUCGGGUUUUUAACUCAAGCCCCUUUGGUCUCAAGGCGCCCUUUGUGGGUUUUCACCUUGGCCUCUCCUUUUCCUUUUUUCUUUUUCUUUUCUCUUUUUUUUUCUUUUUUUGAAUCUGAACUUAUAGGAUUAGGCAUGUCUUUGUUAUCUCUUCCGAUCAAGAUUGACAGUUUUCCAGAUAAAGCCUUCCACAUACGGUCCUUUCCAUCUUGCCAUGAAGUUCUUUUCGUAUGGAAAGGAUCUUCUUCAAUACCAGGUCCCUCUAAUGGAAUUCUCUAGGGAAAACUUUUUUGUGAGCUCGUUGCUUUCGGCGUAUUUGACCAUGAUGGACAACUUUGAACAUUCCUCUUCAAUCGGGAUUGGCGCCAAAAACUCAGACAGAAGAAAAUCUCAACCUCAAUAGGUGAAACCGCGAUAAGCCAAAAAGGAAGACGUUGCCCCAGCAGAGUUUUUUUUUUGGCGAUACAGACUGUAAACUUUUGACUGUUGUUCAAAUUUAAUGCAUAGUCAGAUAUGAUCCUUUUUUGGCAUUCUAUACUAACAUAUGAUUUUUCAAGAAUUUGCUGACUGUCGACUUUGUGAUGUUGGCAUAUGAGGCAGCUUCCACCCACGAAGAUAAACUGAUGACCGCCAGACUCUUUUGGCGAGAUCGACCAAAUGACUUUCAUGCCCCACAUAAGGAAAAGUCGUGGAUUCCAAUGAUUUUUUAUAGGGUAGGAUCUGUUUUUCAUCUUGUUCUACCAUCUUCAAUAAGUCCGGAGAUAGACUACAAUCUAUGUCAUCGUCAAAGUCAUGAGAUCCCUCUAAACACAUGUCUCGCUCAAAAGGAGAUUCUGGGUCUGUAGCAAUGUCAUUCAUGUCGUUGAUAUUCAGGGACCUAUUGUAGGUAUAAAAGAAUAUACAAAGAAUAUAUGAAGUUAUGAAUAAUUAUCUGUACAGUAUGAUUAUGAAAGAUUGAUUUGGAAGAAAAUCCAGAAGAAUGAAAGAAUAAAAAAUAAUUACUCGUAAAGAAUGAAAGAAUAUUGGCUCAAAAAUGAUCGUAAAGAUGCAUUUCAUUAAAAUAAUGAUGUUCAAACAUAAGCCUAUUUCGCAAAAGAGUUCUUAUUGCCUCUAGGCUAAAAGCAACAAGUGUAUUCUGAAUAUUACUCUGAGUAAGCUCUAAAUACUACAGGAGUUUCUUUUACAGUCUAAUUAUUCAGAACACUCUCAAGUUUAUAAAGGCGGAUAUCUAACAAGGUCCCUUCUUCAGUUGCUUCUACAUUACAUUCACUCCACUUAUCAAUUAUGAUUGGGUAAUGGAUUUUCCACACUGGAGGAAUCAUAAAAUUUAAUGACGCCCAUGUUUAUAGAAAAAGAUAAGGUGAGAGGUACAUGUAUGAAUGCUGAGAUUCAAGACAGGAUUUAAUUCGUUGUAGGCCCCCAAAGUGUUUUUGGGAUAUUUAUUGCC
RNAcentral lists this long non-coding RNA (30657 nucleotides) under Gossypium barbadense (sea-island cotton). RNAcentral's name for it is "long non-coding RNA (GBAR_LNC018364)". The record is from RNAcentral. Lineage: Eukaryota; Viridiplantae; Streptophyta; Magnoliopsida; Malvales; Malvaceae.